CCGGAAAAUAUGUGUUUUGAACUAAGACUCGUCUCAUACUUAUGUUCCAUUCAUAGUAUGUUCUCCGAAAGAAAUGAAUACCAACUGACAUAUUCACAAUUUUCUUUUCCUUAUUCCUUGACGAAUAAAAUUGAACAUUUCACGUGGACGGUUUCAAGGUUUUCAAAAGUCCUCCCUGUAUAUAUUCAAACUGAACUUAAAG
This 202-nucleotide long non-coding RNA is filed under the name Mytilus galloprovincialis (Mediterranean mussel). The record is from RNAcentral. Lineage: Eukaryota; Metazoa; Mollusca; Bivalvia; Mytilida; Mytilidae.